UUGACAUCCAGCGAACUUUCCAGAGAUGGAUUGGUGCCUUCGGGAACGCUGAGACAGGUGCUGCAUGGCUGUCGUCAGCUCGUGUUGUGAAAUGUUGGGUUAAGUCCCGNAACGAGCGCAACCCUUAUCCUUUGUUGCCAGCGAUUCGGUCGGGAACUCAAAGGAGACUGCCGGUGAUAAACCGGAGGAAGGUGGGGAUGACGUCAAGUCAUCAUGGCCCUUACGAGUAGGGCUACACACGUGCUACAAUGGCGCAUACAAAGAGAAGCGACCUCGCGAGAGCAAGCGGACCUCAUAAAGUGCGUCGUAGUCCGGAUCGGAGUCUGCAACUCGACUCCGUGAAGUCGGAAUCGCUAGUAAUCGUGGAUCAGAAUGCCACGGUGAAUACGUUCCCGGGCCUUGUACACACCGCCCGUCACACCAUGGGAGUGGGUUGCAAAAGAAGUAGGUAGCUUAACCCUCGGGAGGGCGCUUACCACUUUGUGAUUCAUGACUGGGGUGAAGUCGUAACAAGGUAAGCGUAGUGCU
Molecule: ribosomal RNA, 528 nt
Filed under: uncultured bacterium
Lineage: Bacteria
Description: bacterial SSU rRNA
Rfam family: Bacterial small subunit ribosomal RNA
Source: RNAcentral